Molecule: long non-coding RNA, 2079 nt
Organism: Peromyscus leucopus (white-footed mouse)
Lineage: Eukaryota; Metazoa; Chordata; Mammalia; Rodentia; Cricetidae
Exons: 3
Source: RefSeq, a predicted model, not a curated record
CCCUGGGAUCCUCUUAUUCAAGUUUAACUCUAAAAACACAGGUGUCUACCCUGCCACUGGGUCUGGUUGGUCCGCUCUCUUUUCCCAAAUCCCGGCAAAAUACUGAAGUGGAGAUCUUUGUGCCCUUCGGUCAGAGCACAGGCAAUUUAGCAGGGACUGGUAAAUUCACAAGCUCGGGGCAAGGCAAGAAGAUCCCAAGGAAGGUAUAUAUUAGAAGGUGGAAGGCCCCAGGGUGACCAGACUCAACCCUUUUGCAGUUAGACUGGACUAUGGAUGAAUCACCAGUUUCACUUCCUCAGUGAGGUGUGCCUGCAGCCAUUCCAGAAAUACUUCUCUGUAGUUCGGUCCCCAGAGGCAUCGGUCAGUCCCUCCGUGUCUGACAGGGUGCAGGGUGACCUGCUUUCCUCUGCGUCGAGUGGAAGAAGCAGCAGCCCUCAGCCAGCCCAGAGAGGUGUCAGCUUCUCUUCUCACCCAGCCAGCUGCAACAGCACCUGAUGUCAGGUGCUGCCGAGGGCCUGGCUUCCCGUGAGGUAGACUCCGGGCUGACUUUCUCACCAAAGAAAGAGGGGGCCUGCCCCGCCUCUGCUCAUGACCCACUCAAAGGCAGCCAGCCCGAGUUUGCCAAGGAGCUGCCGCUGGCGACAUCUUGAUCAUCCUAAGCAUUUGCUAAGUGCCAUCAGCACGUUGACUUAGGUGGUAGAGGGAUGUGGGACUGAUGUGGCGGAGAAGGCAGAUGGCGGGAGGUGUGAGAACCAGGCACCCGACUAGGCUCUGGGUUCCCCUGCCCUUGCCACACUGCCCUCUGAUCCAACCACUCAUCCAUGGACACCUGCAGCCACUUCCCCGCCUCUACACUCCGCCAGAACCAGCCCGCACAGUCUUCUAAGCCAUUAUUUUCUACCGUGGCCUAGAGGACCCAAUCCAGAUGGCUUUGUCUAGCCAGGGCUUUCCAUGACUGGGCCUCCUAUCUGUCGGCUUCAUUUUCCAUUGCUUCCCGAGGGGUAAAGGUCUCCUGUGCCCAGCCUGGCUUGUCUUCACUGCCACCCCUCUGUGCGCUGAAGCAGCCAGGCAUGGUUAUUUCGCAAAAGGCAACCUUAGAAUUUCUUCAUCUUGGGGUUUCACCCGUAAUUAUUCACUGAGUACCACUAUUCGUACAGUUAGAAAAAGGUGGACUUUCUCAGAAACCUUACCUGCUUCCCAGCCUACCCCCUGGUUCCUUCUUAUAGCCAUCUUGAGCAACAGUGAAGCUUCCUGAAUUCUGCAGAUGAGAACCCAAGGCUUAGAAGAGACUGGUUCCUCCUACGCCGGAAGACUCCUGGGCCAGAGAGCUCCAGUCUCUUUUUGUUCCACGGUCAAGGUCGUCCAUUCAUUCUACCUCACUGAAGUGAAAACCACAUGCACUUGGGAACAUGGACCAUCCUCGCCUCUGUGUCUGGCAAACGAUGAGCACAUUAGUGUCUUUGUGUGUGCAGGAUGCUGAAACUGGAGCCCAUAAACCUGUGGCCUGUAAACAACAGGAAUCUAUUGCUCACAGGAAGCUGGGAAGUUCAAGGUCAGGAAGCCCACAGAUUUGUGUCUAGUGAAGGCCCAUCAGCUAUAGAAAUCCAUCCUCUUCUUUGUUAACAUAACAGAAGACUGUGGGAGCUCUCGGGAGUCUCUUCUGAGAGCAUUGAUCCUGUACGCGAAGGCUCCCCACUGUGGUCUAAUCACCACGCUAAAGGCCUGCCUCCAGGUGCCACCACAUUUGGCGUCAGGCUCAACACAUGAAUUUGUUGCAGGGUCUCAUGUUUGCUGGGCAAGUGCUGGACCACUGAGCUACAUCUCCAAACCUACAACAGGCAGCCUUGUAAAAAAUGAAAUAAAGAAAAUACCAGACUGCAGCCAACAUUAGCCCCCAGCACAGCUGGGAGGGGAGAGGAAGCCGAAGUCUUUCCUGCCCGCGCUUCCCCUCACACACCUGGGGUUGCAGACAGGUUGGCUGCAGAAAAAUGCAGCAGGCUGGAGAAUUUUGAUUUCCUGCUCUGCAAACAGGGAGUGGCCUGUCUUCCCACUUCUGCAUCUCAGCACGGACACUAGAAA